CGGACGGGUGAGUAAUGUCUGGGAAACUGCCUGAUGGAGGAGGAUAACUACUGGAAACGGUAGCUAAUACCGCAUAACGUCGCAAGACCAAAGAGGGGGACCUUAGGGCCUCUUGCCAUCGGAUGUGCCCAGAUGGGAUUAGCUAGUAGGUGGGGUAACGGCUCACCUAGGCGACGAUCCCUAGCUGGUCUGAGAGGAUGACCAGCCACACUGGAACUGAGACACGGUCCAG
Molecule: ribosomal RNA, 232 nt
Filed under: uncultured bacterium
Lineage: Bacteria
Description: partial 16S ribosomal RNA
Rfam family: Bacterial small subunit ribosomal RNA
Source: RNAcentral